CCCAAUCCUUCCCCUUCGUACAUCCUCCUGUACACCCGGCCCCCAUUGCUCUGGAAAUGGAGAGUCAGGAGGGUAUUUAAUGUCAUUACUUUCUUUCCUAAACCAGGUCAUUUGUCACCCUAUACCCCAAAGAGCAUGCUGACAUGCCUCUGCAUGAGGUCUCAGGAAGUGAUGGUAGCAUCAGUUCCAGUAGCUUACAGACAGAGGUGUUUGUGAAUGGUGACUUAACAGGAAGUUCUACGAUACACCAAGGAGUUUCUUUGAUUGGAUGCCAGUGUUCUGAGGCCACCCUUGCUGAAGAAUCUUGUAGAAGAGAGGACAGUUUGGAAUUCUGUCCUCUUGGUUCAUUAGACCAUCCCCCUACCCCCGAGGACCUAGAGCUAAUGAUUACUGAGCUCUUAUCCUGCCAAAAGAGGGGUCACGCUGGGGAACAAAACCAGCUACAGUUUUUGUCCUUGGGAUGCAGCCAGCCAAGAGGAAGAAUUCAGAUAACCACCCAAAUCAAGCCACAGUUGUUCCUAAGUAGUUUCAGGGAUGUCAACACCCAGAACUUGAGAGUUUGUGUAGAUGGAAGUGGCUUUGGAGAAACUGUAGCCUGGUCUCUCACUGACAUUUGGAAACAGAGACAUUCGGGAAGCUGCCCCAAGUCUAAGGCCAGAUGGCAAACUGACAGAUCUCAGCCAUUGCAAAUGCCUCCACCCUCCAUGAUGGAUUCAAGGCUUGGCACACACAGGGGCACCCGGCUAAUCUCCAAUCAUGAAAACUUUGGACAAGAGCAAAUCUCCAUGACCUGAGCCCCAGCUGGAGUGAAGCAAUAAGUUGAAAGGGAACUGAAAUCCACCAAAGGCUGGGCCUCCAAAUACUCAAAGAUGGCCUCCUCCACUGGUGACCUCUCCUGACCUUCUCAAGCUGCUCCCUCAUCGACACUCACCAGAAAUGGCAUGGGGGUGACUCAGCCAAGAGCCUGAAAUAAAAUGCUGAUAAGAGGAGCCUGACUCCCA
Molecule: long non-coding RNA, 1001 nt
Filed under: Vulpes vulpes (red fox)
Lineage: Eukaryota; Metazoa; Chordata; Mammalia; Carnivora; Canidae
Description: lncRNA (ENSVVUG00000019930.1)
Source: RNAcentral